CUCCGUCAAACAAACCUUACACCUUCUUCGUCUUCCAUCUUUGGUUCUUUGAUUCUUUCCUUCUGCUACUUCACUCCAUUUCGCUCUUCUUCUCUCACACUCACUUGAUUUUUCAAUUCAACCGUUUUCCUUCUUUUUUAGCAUUCACAUUUUGAUUUUGCUGUAACGCAAUGCUAUGGUGAUGCCCAAUGAUGCUUAACUAGCUUCCAUUUUCAAUGAGAUCUCAUCAGAUGAGCCACUGGUUCUUGUUUUGUCAUUUGCUUUUCCACCACUGCAACCAUCAACUCCUCUUCCCUCUCUCUCUCUCUCUCUCUCUCUCUAUCUCUCUAUCUAUCUCAUGCAUGCAUACCCAAACCCACACACACAUAUAUGCAAAUGAAUAAGGAAGCCAGUGAUACUGUGUGGUGGUUUGGGAAGGCUUUUGAUGAACGCUAGUGGCUUUCAACUGUGUGAUUACUUCUAAGCUAUCAGAUCUGAGGGCAUUUUAACUCAGUUUUCUAGUUGAAUAGUUUCACUUCUCUAAUUGUGGUUUUUGCUCACUGAAAUUUUGUUGCAUGCCCUCAUCUUUAGCAAGUUUUUUUUAGUUUACUGCGCUUUUUAGCAAUUGAAGUAGUUUGUGUUGUGUUUGCAUUUGCCUGAUGUUUGAAUAACACGGUUUAGACUGUUGGUUUUCAUAGAACCCUUAGCAGUUAGCAUCAUCUUAGACUUUGCCUACUCAUUAUGUUUAUUAAUUUGUGGUGAUUUUUACAGUCUUGUUUGUUUGUUUGUUUGUUUCUUUUCACUGCAGAUACUAUGUGCAGAGACAAUGAUAGUUUCAUGGUUAAAAUACCAAUGACCGACCGUAGAAGCCUUCGAGAUGCAGAUACUAUUUGCAGAGAUGAUGAUAGUUUCAUGGUUAAAAUACCAAUGACCGACUGCAGAAGCCUUCGAGUUCGAGAUGGUAAAAUCUAAGGGUUUUUUUUUUUCCGGUAGAUAUUUAUGUGUGCUGAGUGACAGAAAUUUGCUCUAGUUACCUGAUUCAUUGCAUUUUUUUUUAAAGUUAUUGUUUCUUUUUACGUUUUUCUUUUUACACAUAAUAUUUUGAUGUUGCAACAUGAUGGUGCCCAAUGAUGCAUAACUAAGUUCAUUUUCUUUGAUAUCAGCUGAGUCACUGGUUCUUGAUUUGUCAUCUGCUUUUCCACCACUGCCACCAUCAACUCCUCUUCCCUCUCUCUCUCUCUCUCUCUCUCUCUCUCUCUCUCUUUCUCUCUCUCAUACAUGCAUACACACACACAUAAACAAAAGAAACAAAGAAAAUGAUCAUCAUAUGUGGUGGUUUGGGAAGGCUUUUGAUGAACGCCAUUGACUUUCAACUGCGUGAUUAGUUCUAAGCUAUGAGAUCUGAGGGCAUUUUUACUCAGUUUUCUAGUUGAAUUGUUUCAGUUCUCUAAUUGUGAUUCGGCUCACUGAAAUUUUGUUGUAUGCCGUCAUCUUUGUUGAGUUUUUUUUGGUUUACUGCACUAUUGAAACAAAUGUACAGCCUAGGAAUCUUCAUCUGACCCCUAAAGUUUAGGUUUUUUUUUGUGGGAUACGUGAAUAUUUCUUAUGGAUAUGCCCAAUGAUGAAUGCUCCUUGUACGAUAUGGUACUCUGAAUAUUAUUCAAAUCCUUUGCAUCUCUCUGCCUUUCUGCCCACUGCCAUAGAUGACUAUGCUGCUAUUGCUUUGGUUCUUCUCUCUUUCUUCUUCUUCUCCUCUUCUUUAUUACUCCCUCCGUUCCUAAUUGUUGUUGUUGCUGGUGGGGGAGGUGGUGAUGAUGGUAGUGUUGUUUCUGCUCAGUCACUAACAUUUGGUAGAGAUGGUGGAGGUGUGAGGUUGUCUUCAUGGUUGUUGAAUAAGUACUACUCAGGUGAUAUCUGAGGGCCCAUUUUUUAUCUCGAGUUUGAAUAAUUGUCUGUUUGUUAUGGAGGAUUUUAAAUUUUCAUAUUAUGCUUUCUUUAGAGCAUUUGGGUGACUUUAAUCAAACAUGGCCCAUGGAUGGAUGGUUAGGUAUCGUCGAGAAGUGUUUCAUGAUCAUGUAAAUUUUUUUGUUAUGCUUUCUUUUCUCACUCACUUGACUUUUCCAUUCGGUUGUCUUAUGUAUUUUUUUUAGCAUAGUAUUUUGAUGUUGUGUUAACGCGAUGCUAUAGCGAUGCCCAAUGACGCAUAACUAAAUUCAUUUUGCAAUGAGAUCAGAUGAGCCACUGGUUCUUGAUUUGUCAUCUGCUUUUCCACCACUGCCACCAUCACCUCCUCUUCUCUCUCUCUCUAUAUAUAUAUAUAUAUAUCUAUCUCAUGCAUACACACACACACAUGCAAAUGAAACAAAGAAAAUAAUUAUAUGUGGUGGAUUGGGAAGGCUUUUGAUGAACUCCAUUGGCUUUAAUCUGCGUGAUUGGUGCUAGCAGUGAGAUCUGAGGGCAUUUUCUUUGUAUUACCUCGAUUCCCUAUUUCUCAACUCAGUUUUCUCGUUGAAUAGUUUCAGUUCUCUAAUUGUGGUUUUGGUUUACCAAAAUUUUGUUGCAUGCCCCUGAUCUUUGGCGAGUCUCUUUUAUUUUACUGAACGAUUGAAACAAAUGUAAUGCCUAGAAAGCUUUAUCUCACCCCUAAAUUUUUAGUUUUUCUUUAGAGGGAUACCUGAAUAUCUGUUCCAUAAUAUGUAUGUUAUUUGAAUGGUCUGUUGAUUGAUAAACAAUGGGCCUGGUACACUUUUUUGUUCUUUUUGAGGAAAAAAGUCACUCCUUAUUGCCUUGUUGAUGUUUAGCAAUUGAAAUAGUUUGGGUUGUGUUUGCAUUUGCCUGAUGUUUGAAUAACACGGUUUAGACUCUAUUAUGUUUGUCUUCCAAGAGCCCUGAGCAGCAUCAUGUUAGACUUUGCCUACUCAUCAUCUUUAUUAAUUUGUGGUGAAUUUUGCAUUCAUGGUUCUUCUUUCUUUUCACAGAAAAUACUAUGUGCAGAGGCAAUGAUAGUUUCAUGGUUAGAAUACCCAUGACCUACUGCAGAAGGCUUCGAGAUGCUUCUAUUUGUAGAGACAAUAGUUUGAUGGUCCUAAUACCUAUGGCCAGUUAUAGAUUCAAUUGAGUUUCCCUUACUUGAUCGUAGUAGCAUUCGAGAUUGUAAAAUCUGAGAGGUACGUUUAUUGUAUUAUUUUAUUGUUUCUUGUUGGGGGAUUCUUCAUGUUUUCCAUUGAUUUAGUGGAAAAAGCUGUUGAUGAUUUGUAUUUAGCUAUGAGAUCUGUGGGCUCUGAAUUUCUUUUUAUUUCCCCCCAACAAAUAUGCUUCCAUAUUUCCUUAAACACAUACGUAGUGUUGAUACUUUCUUUGCUUCCAUAGUGAGCAUUUUACUGUCACUUCUUGUUCACUGCACAUUUUAUCUCUUCCUUUCCUGCUUGUAUUAUUUCAUUUAUAGUCAUCUAUCCUGCCCAGUGAUGGACAAAUUGUAUCAAUGAGCAGCUGCACAGUUUUGUUCAUCACUCGUCAAAAUUGGUUUCAAUUUAAUUAUAGGGAGCUGCUUGAUAGAUAGUGGAAUGUCAAGUGUAAUCAUCUCCUUUGGGAAGGUAAAUGCUAUGUGGAUUUCCUUGCUAAGCUUGCUUGUAGAUGUAGUGUAAAAGGGGCAGAAGUUUGUUAUUCUACUAGAUCCUCCUAUUGAGUUGGAUGCUAUAAUAACUUUGUUCAUUUGGAAUUAGUUUUUAUUCUCUUACUUUGGGGUACAUCUACUUUUGUGCACCUAAAAACAAAAAUUCCCUCUUGUCUUAGUUUUCUCAGUUAUGGUGUCAUCAUUUAAUCAGAGAACUUUUUUUUGAGUAGUUUGUUAAUAUUAUAUAACCCUUCUCCUAGUGAUAUUUAAAUGGAGAAGUUCAUUAAUAUACAAAAGAAAAGGGACAGAAAGAUAUUGCAUAUGCAAAAAGAGCAAGUUUUCAACUAAAAUACAAUUGAUAAUCUAAUCUAUGUUCACAAUUUGCAUCACCUGGAUUUUAAACCCGUAGAUUUUCAUUCCAAAGUAAAUUCCAAAAGAUUUUCAUUUAAACCCGUGGAUUUUCAUUCCAAAAGAAUGUUAAAAAAAAGUAAAUGACUGUAAUAUGAUGUGUUUAAUACUGGAACAUGUUUGUUUUAAUAAAUAUAAUAUUUUAAAAAAGAUGGAUAAAAAAUUAAUCAACUUGUGUGGUUGCCUCCUUGACUUCGUAAAGAUAUAUAUUCUAACAAAUUUUCUAAAAAUAUUUUGGAUGAUGAAAAAGUUAGUUGAGCAUUAUAUUUUUUCUAAAUUUGAGAACCUAUAAUCUAGAAAUAAAAAAUAAAAAAUUGGAAACCUGAUUAUUUUUGAAAUAUAUUUGAGAUUAUUUUAAAUUUACUACAAUAAAACCCAGAGUCUCACAGGCCCAAAAGUAAGGAACCAAACACAGGCUCGUUUCGCCCAAAUUCGCAUACAGUUUGUCUUCUCCACUUCUUGAUUUUCAAAUUCAAGAUUUAUUCUUGCGCUUUUUUUUGCAUGGUAUUUUGAUUUUGCUUUAAUGCAAUGCCCAAUGAUGCUUAACUAGCUUCAUUUUGCAAUGAGAUCAGAUGAGCCAGCCACUGGUUCUUGAUUUGUCAAUUGCUUUUCCACCACUGCCUCCACCAACUCUUCUGUUUCUCUCUCUCUCUCUCUCCACACACACACAUACACAUGCAUAUAUAUGAUGAUGAAGAUGAAGAUGAAGAUGGAUAGAUUAUAUGCGGUGGUAUGUGAAGGCUUUUGAUGAACGGCACUGGCUUGAGUCUUUCUGAUUGAUUCUAAGCUGUCAGAUCUGAGGGCAUUUUCUGCUUAUUUCCUCGAUUCCCUGUUUUUUAACUCUGUUUUCUUGUUCGAUUGCUGAAAAUUUGUUGUAUGCCCUAAUUUUUGUGUUGAUGUUACGCAGCUGAAGCAUUUUGUGUAGUGUUUGCAUUUGCCUCUAGUAAUUCGUUCGAUUGCUCUAAUUUUGUUGCAUGCCCUAAAAUUUGGUGUAGACUGUUUUGCUGGAUUUGCUUAGAGCCUGUAUUACCAUGUUAGAUUUUACCUUCAUCUUAAUUAUUCAUUGGUGAUGUUUAUAUUCUCCUUUCUUUCCUUUUCACAAUAGUUACUAUUUGUGUGGAUGCAAUGGUUGUUUGAUGGUCAAAUACCAAUAACCUUAGAAACAUGUGAUAUAGUAAAAUCCCAAGGGAUUUGCUUCGCAUUUCUUCAAUCACUGAUUUUAAAAUUUAAAUUGUCUGUUUACGUUUUUUAUUCGCAUGAUAUUUUGAUGUUGUUGCAAGGUGAUGCCCAAUGAUGCAUAACUAAUUUCAUUUGCAAUUAGAUCAUCUUUGGUUCUUGAUUUGUCAUUUGCUUUUCCACCUCUGCCACCACCACCACCACCACCGCUACCGCCGCCUCUUCGCUCUCUCCUCCACACCUACAUUUGCUAUGUUUUCAGGGACUAAAAACAUAUUUAACCCUAUUAUUAGUUAUAUGCAGUUGGGGAAGGCUUUUGAUGAACGCCAUUGGCUCUAAACUGUGUGAUUGGUUCUAUGCUAUGAGAUCUGAGGGCAUUUUCUGCUUGUUACCUCGUUUCACUGUUUUUUUAACUCUGUUUUCUUGUUCAGUAGUUCAAGUUCUCUAUGCCUCUAUUUGUUGUUUUGUAUUACUGAAAUUUUGUUGCAAUCCCUCAUCUUUGGCGAGUUUUAGUUUUACUGCAGCAUGGAAAUAAACCUACAGGCAUCAUAUUUGUUGUUUUUUUUUGCAGGGUAGAUGAAUAUUUGAUACAUAAAAAUGCUUUUGACUGAUACCAAUGGGCUUGGUACUCUAUUUUUUUAGGAAGGAACUCAAUACACUGUUGAUGUUAAGCAAUCGAAGUUGUCUGUGUUCUGUUUGCAUUGAAUUGCUUUGUUUCUAUUUUGCGGGUUUUCAUAGAGUCUUUAGCAUCAUGUUAGACUUUGCUUUCUCAUCAUCUUUAUUUAUAUCUUCUAAUAUUUACAUCCUUGUUUCUCUCUUUCUUUUCAGAGUAGCUACUAUUUGCAGAGCCUAUGAUAGUUUGACAGUUAUAAUUUCCUAUGACCAGUUAUGAAUUCCAUUGAGUUUUCCUUACUUAAUGGUAGAAGCAUUCGGGGCUGUAAAAUCCGAGGGGUUUUAUUUUUGGUAAAUUUGUAUGUGGUCUGAGUGACCAAUAUUUGGAUCUAAUUACCUGAUUUAUUUUGUCCAACUAGCAAGGGUACAUUUAUUGUUUUUAUUAAUUGCCGUUUCUUGUUUUCGGCUCUUUCAUGUUUUCCACUGAUUUAACGUAACUGGUUUAACUGGUUUGCAUUUGCUGCCCGAUGAUGAAAAAGUAGAGUAUUGAACGGCCAUGUGGUUUUGUUCAUAACUGGACCUGCACCGCUCUCUCUCUCUCUCUCUCUCUCUCUCUACUUUUUUUUUUGAUAGGCAAAUGUUAGUAUACAAUAUAAAACCAUUCAUGUGACCCUUCCCAACAGCUUAAGCAUUUUGGAUAUGGUGCAAGAAGGCUGUGAGUGAAGCCCAUGGAAAAAACUGUUGAUUGAAAUUAGCUAUGAGAUCUGAGGGCUCUGCAUUUUUUUCCUAUCAAUUAUUGCUUAAAUACAUCCUGUUAUUCCAAGGGAAACAAAAAAACAUCGGUACUAUUGAUGCAUUUUACUGUUGCACCUUAUUCACUGCACAUAUUAUUUCUUCCCCUCUGUUUGUAUUAUUGCAUUUUAGUCAUCUAUCCUGUCCAAUGAUGGACAAAUUGAACAAUGAGCCGCAGGUUUGUUCAUCACUUGACAUGCACCAUUUCUUCUUCCUCUUCUCUCUCUCUCUCUCUCUCUAUCUAUCUAUCUAUAUAUCGAUCUCUGUGUGUGUGUGUGUGUGGAGAUGGUGCAUGAACGGUGUGAAUGAAGCCUGCUGCAUAGGCUGUAGAUGAUCUUUAUUAAGCUAUGAGAUCUGAGAGCUAGGCAUUCCUCUCCCCUUGACUGGUUAAAAUAGGUUUCAAUUUUUUUAUAGGUUUGUUUCGGCUCUUGCAUAAAUUUCUUGGUUAUCCUAGAUAUUAUUUUCAACGGCAUAUGUAUCUUUUUUUUUUUUUGCCUUUCUCUUUAACUUUGGGAUAUUUCUUUAGGAUGUUUCUUGCUUGUUUUCACUUUUAAUUUCAACUUGUAUAUUUGCUUUGUACUGCCUUUAUUAGUUAUUCAAUUUCCUCUGGAUUAUUUGAUUGAUAUAUUUCGUAUGGAUAUGCCCAAUGAUGAAUGAUCAUUUUAAGAUAUGGUACUCUGAAUGUCAUUCAAAUCCGUUGCAUCUUUCUGCCUCUCUGCCUGCUGCCAUAGUCGACUAUGCUGCUGUUGCUUUGGUUCUUCUCUCUUUAUUACUCCCUCCGUUCCUAAUGAUUGUUGUUGUUGUUGUUGUUGAUGGUGGCGGCAGUGGUGAGUCGCUAACAGUGGGUAGAGAUGGUGGAGGUGUGAGGUUGUCUUGUGAGAACUGGCUUGUUGAUGUUGAUUAAGUACUACUCUGGUCACUUCUGAGGGCACUUUUUAUUAUCUUGCGUUUGAACUUGUCAAUUUGUUUCUGGGACAUUUAAAUUUAUAUGUUAUGCAUCCUUUUGAGCACUUGUGUGACUUUUAAAGCUUUGCAUAGAGUCUGUAGCAUCAUGUUUGGCUUUAUCUACAUCUUCAUAAUACUUAGAUGUUGUAACAUGAUGGUAUGGUGAUGCCCAAUGAUGGAUAACUCAUUUCAUUUGUAAUGAGAUCAGAUGAGCCAUUGGUUCUUGAUUUGUCAUUUGCUUUUCCACCACCACCCUUCCUCCUCCUCCUCCUCUCUCCCUCUCUCCCCCCCCCCCCAUGGCCCAUGCAUGCAUACCCACGCACACAUAUACGAUGAUGAUGAUGAAUAUAUGUGGUUGUUUGGUAAGGCUUUUGAUGAACACCAUUGGCUUUAUCCCGCGUGAUUACUUCUAAAGCAAAGCUAUGAUAUCUGAGGGCAUUGUUAUCAUAUCAUAUUGAAUAGUUUCAGUUCUCUAUUUGUGGUUUUGGAUUAUUGAAAUUUUGUUGCAUGAUCUGAUCCUUGGCUGAGUUUUUAGGUUUACUGCAGUAUUGAAACAAAUGUACAGCCUUGAAAGCUUUUCUGACCCCCUAAUUUUGGGGGGGGGGGGGGGCUCUCACCUAUUUGCACUUGUACAUGAGUUCCUGCCAGCAUUCAGAACCAACAUGGUGUCUCUGUUCGUGGUACCUGCAUUUCAUCCUUUAUUUGAUGAAGGAAAGAGAAGGUUGGUCCCUAUCUAUUAAAUUUUCAGAAUCAGUUGACUGUUGAUAUGUUUAUCUUUCUCCCUAUCCUGCAAGCUGCAAUGUGUGUUCAGAUACAAAAUGGGACCUAAAGAGUGAAGACACAAAAUGUCCAUGGAUUCAGGCUUCUAUGAUAUUAAGAUUCCGAAUCAUGUUUGUAAUUUUCUGUACCCUUUCAAUCUUACAUUAAAUAAAUCUUAGGUACAGUUUCAUCUAUGCCUUGUGAAAAAUGGUAAUUGUGAGAUGUUAUCAAACUAAAUAAAAAGGGCGUAGCUCUCAUGCCUUUUUUAGAGUGAAUUGGUUAAAAUCAGGUUCUCCCAUUUCGUCAAGCAUUUCUUUUAUGCUAAAGACAUUGCUAUAUGUAUUUCAGGGCCACAUUUAUUA
Molecule: long non-coding RNA, 8646 nt
Organism: Lotus japonicus
Lineage: Eukaryota; Viridiplantae; Streptophyta; Magnoliopsida; Fabales; Fabaceae
Exons: 5
Source: RefSeq, a predicted model, not a curated record